Molecule: antisense RNA, 75 nt
Filed under: Micromonospora palomenae
Lineage: Bacteria; Bacillati; Actinomycetota; Actinomycetes; Micromonosporales; Micromonosporaceae
Description: ASpks TB sRNA
Rfam family: ASpks TB sRNA
Source: RNAcentral
CUUGACCGACCCCAGCCAGAGCGGCCGGUCCCCCGGGCGGUCCUGCCCGUAGGUGGCCAGCAGCGCCUGCGCCUC